Molecule: ribosomal RNA, 253 nt
Filed under: uncultured bacterium
Lineage: Bacteria
Description: partial 16S ribosomal RNA
Rfam family: Bacterial small subunit ribosomal RNA
Source: RNAcentral
UACGAAGGGGGCUAGCGUUGUUCGGAAUUACUGGGCGUAAAGCGUGCGCAGGCGGUUUGCUAAGACAGGUGUGAAAUCCCCGGGCUUAACCUGGGAACUGCGCUUGUUACUGGCAGGCUUGAGUGUGGCAGAGGGGGGUGGAAUUCCACGUGUAGCAGUGAAAUGCGUAGAUAUCGGGAGGAACACCUGAGGCGAAGGCGGCUAUCUGGACCGACAUUGACGCUGAUGCGCGAAAGCGUGGGGAGCAAACAGG